UACGAGGGGGGCAAAUGUUGUUCGGAAUCACUGGGCGUAAAGGGAGCGUAGGCGGGUUUUUAAGUCAGGUGUUUAAUCCCGGGGCCCAACCCCGGACCGGCACUUGAAACUGGGAAUCUUGAAUAGGGGAGAGGUCAGUGGAAUUGGAGGUGUAGCGGUGGAAUGCGCAGAUAUCAGGAAGAACACCCGUGGCGAAGGCGGCUCUCUGGAACGCAACUGACGCUGAGACGCGAAAGCGUGGGGAGCAAACAGG
This 253-nucleotide ribosomal RNA is filed under the name uncultured bacterium. Its description in RNAcentral is "partial 16S ribosomal RNA". It matches the Rfam family "Bacterial small subunit ribosomal RNA", at positions 524 to 776 of the family's 1533-position model. The record is from RNAcentral.